Oncorhynchus tshawytscha (Chinook salmon) is the source of this 342-nucleotide long non-coding RNA. The record is from Ensembl. NCBI's taxonomy places the organism in Eukaryota, Metazoa, Chordata, Actinopteri, Salmoniformes, Salmonidae.
GCCAUAUUUCCUCUCGCUCCUACUGAAAAGCCAAUUGUCCCGGUUGAUAUAUUAUCGAAUAGAUAUUUGAAAAACACCCUGAGGAUUGAUUAUAAAAAAACGUUUGCCAUGUUUCUGUCGAUAUUAUGGAUCUAAUUUGGAGUUUUUUUCGGCGUUGUCGUGACUGCAAUUUCCGGUGGAUUUCUCAACAAAACGUGGACAAGAAACGGAGGUAUUUUGGCUAUAAAAAUCCUCUUUAUGAGGAUUUUCGUGAGUGAAAACAUCCAAAGCUCAUCAAAGCAGGCAAUUAUAAACUGGUUUGCCAACGUUAUUAAAACAGUAAAAAUACUUUUUGUCAUACCC